This 854-nucleotide ribosomal RNA is filed under the name Johnalcornia aberrans. RNAcentral describes it as "eukaryotic LSU rRNA". It matches the Rfam family "Eukaryotic large subunit ribosomal RNA", at positions 68 to 940 of the family's 3401-position model. The record is from RNAcentral. Lineage: Eukaryota; Fungi; Ascomycota; Dothideomycetes; Pleosporales; Pleosporaceae.
ACAGGGAUUGCCCUAGUAACGGCGAGUGAAGCGGCAACAGCUCAAAUUUGAAAUCUGGCUCUUUCAGAGUCCGAGUUGUAAUUUGCAGAGGGCGCUUUGGCUUUGGCAGCGGUCCAAGUUCCUUGGAACAGGACGUCACAGAGGGUGAGAAUCCCGUACGUGGUCGCUAGCUAUUGCCGUGUAAAGCCCCUUCGACGAGUCGAGUUGUUUGGGAAUGCAGCUCUAAAUGGGAGGUAAAUUUCUUCUAAAGCUAAAUAUUGGCCAGAGACCGAUAGCGCACAAGUAGAGUGAUCGAAAGAUGAAAAGCACUUUGGAAAGAGAGUCAAACAGCACGUGAAAUUGUUGAAAGGGAAGCGCUUGCAGCCAGACUUGCUUGCAGUUGCUCAUCUGGGCUUUUGCCCGGUGCACUCUUCUGUAGGCAGGCCAGCAUCAGUUUGGGCGGUGGGAUAAAGGUCUCUGUCAUGUACCUCUCUUCGGGGAGGCCUUAUAGGGGAGGCGACAUACCACCAGCCUGGACUGAGGUCCGCGCAUCUGCUAGGAUGCUGGCGUAAUGGCUGUAAGCGGCCCGUCUUGAAACACGGACCAAGGAGUCUAACAUCUAUGCGAGUGUUUGGGUGUCAAGCCCGAGCGCGUAAUGAAAGUGAACGGAGGUGGGAACCCGCAAGGGCGCACCAUCGACCGAUCCUGAAGUUUACGGAAGGAUUUGAGUAAGAGCAUGGCUGUUGGGACCCGAAAGAUGGUGAACUAUGCUUGAAUAGGGUGAAGCCAGAGGAAACUCUGGUGGAGGCUCGCAGCGGUUCUGACGUGCAAAUCGAUCGUCAAAUUUGGGCAUAGGGGCGAAAGACUAAUCGAAC